This 239-nucleotide ribosomal RNA is filed under the name Staphylococcus aureus. RNAcentral's name for it is "partial 16S ribosomal RNA". It matches the Rfam family "Bacterial small subunit ribosomal RNA", at positions 1 to 229 of the family's 1533-position model. Lineage: Bacteria; Bacillati; Bacillota; Bacilli; Caryophanales; Staphylococcaceae. The record is from RNAcentral.
UUUAUGGAGAGUUUGAUCCUGGCUCAGGAUGAACGCUGGCGGCGUGCCUAAUACAUGCAAGUCGAGCGAAAGGACGAGAAGCUUGCUUCUCUGAUGUUAGCGGCGGACGGGUGAGUAACACGUGGAUAACCUACCUAUAAGACUGGGAUAACUUCGGGAAACCGGAGCUAAUACCGGAUAAUAUUUUGAACCGCAUGGUUCAAAAGUGAAAGACGGUCUUGCUGUCACUUAUAGAUGGA